This 253-nucleotide ribosomal RNA is filed under the name uncultured bacterium. Its description in RNAcentral is "partial 16S ribosomal RNA". It matches the Rfam family "Bacterial small subunit ribosomal RNA", at positions 524 to 776 of the family's 1533-position model. The record is from RNAcentral.
UACGUAGGGGGCAAGCGUUAUCCGGAUUUACUGGGUGUAAAGGGAGCGUAGACGGCAAUACAAGUCGGAAGUGAAAUACCCGGGCUUAACCUGGGAACUGCUUUGGAAACUGUAUGGCUGGAGUGUUGGAGAGGUAAGCGGAAUUCCUAGUGUAGCGGUGAAAUGCGUAGAUAUUAGGAGGAACACCAGUGGCGAAGGCGGCUUACUGGACAGUAACUGACGUUGAGGCUCGAAAGCGUGGGGAGCAAACAGG